UACGUAGGGUGCAAGCGUUGUCCGGAAUCACUGGGCUUAAAGCGCGUGUAGGCGGCUGGGAACGUCGGUAGUUGAAAGCCCCCGGCUCAACCGGGGAAGUGGUGCCGAAACGACCCGUCUGGAGGGACGUAGGGGGAUCUGGAACUUCCGGUGGAGCGGUGAAAUGCGUUGAGAUCGGAAGGAACGCCCGUGGCGAAAGCGAGGUCCUGGACGUCUACUGACGCUGAGACGCGAAAGCUAGGGGAGCAAACGGG
Molecule: ribosomal RNA, 254 nt
Filed under: uncultured bacterium
Lineage: Bacteria
Description: partial 16S ribosomal RNA
Rfam family: Bacterial small subunit ribosomal RNA
Source: RNAcentral